GAUUUGACUGAGACUAGAAAACUUUGGAAAAAACAGUGGAAAGUCCAUGGUAAAUACUCUGAUCUGCUUGCUAAAGACUACUUCAAUUUACCAUUCAAGUUUUAUGGAGACGUUAAUGUGACAAGGAUGUUUGAGGAUGCUGGGAGUUUCAGUUGGGAUGGAUUUUUAUCAUAGCUUGAUCAUUCAAGUGAUAAGACAAAAGACUAAAAAAUUCGCAAGUAUAAAGUGUUAUAAUGGAACGUUGUGGGAAGUUCAAAUCUGCUUCGAAAAAGAUGGAGUGUUUCGGGACUGUAAUGUGACGCCUGAGGAUAUGUUUUGGGACGUAAAUGGACAAUAAAUGAAUAUCACAAAAUUUCACUUCUUGAGAUGUCAUCUACAAUAAAGGCAGAGAAAUGUUAUGGUAGAGAUGAGGAUGGUGGUGGUAAGAUUCCUACUAUAGCUGAUUAGCCCAAGCAAUGAGCACUAAAGUCUGGUAGUGGUGAUGAGUAAGUUAAUUAAAGUUAUAAUUAACGAUCUUUUUUCUAUUCUUUCAUUUUUUUCAUGAUGGUUUUUAUGUGUGUAUUAUGUUGAUGUUUGGGCUACAGACCAGUGCCUUUAGUAGUAAACUAGCUCUCA
Prunus mume (Japanese apricot) is the source of this 615-nucleotide non-coding RNA. The record is from RefSeq and is a predicted model, not a curated record. Lineage: Eukaryota; Viridiplantae; Streptophyta; Magnoliopsida; Rosales; Rosaceae.